RNAcentral lists this ribosomal RNA (393 nucleotides) under uncultured bacterium. RNAcentral describes it as "bacterial SSU rRNA". It matches the Rfam family "Bacterial small subunit ribosomal RNA", at positions 990 to 1385 of the family's 1533-position model. The record is from RNAcentral.
CUGGAAUCUGCAGAGAUGUGGGAGUGCCUUCGGGACCUGGAGAAAGUGCUGCAUGGCUGUCGUCAGCUCGUGUCGUGAGAUGUUGGGUUAAGUCCCGCAACGAGCGCAACCCUUGCCCUUAGUUGCCAUCAUUUAAUUGGGAACUCUCAAGGGACACCCCGUGACAAACACCAGAAAAGUGGGGGUAACAUCUAAUCUCCUCGGGCCUUUUAACCAGGGGUACACACAUGUUACAAUGGGCGGUACAAAGGGGUGCCCACCCCCGCGGGGGAGCCAAUCCCAAAAAAACCGUCUUAUUCCCGAUAGCAGUCUCCAACUCUCCUCCGUGAAAUCGGAAACUCUAUUAAUCCCGAAUCACCCAUGUCCCGGUGAAAACCUUCCCCGGGUUUGUAA